This 268-nucleotide ribosomal RNA is filed under the name Cortinarius barlowensis. RNAcentral describes it as "partial large subunit ribosomal RNA". It matches the Rfam family "Eukaryotic large subunit ribosomal RNA", at positions 419 to 675 of the family's 3401-position model. The record is from RNAcentral. Lineage: Eukaryota; Fungi; Basidiomycota; Agaricomycetes; Agaricales; Cortinariaceae.
ACGCUUGAAGUCAGUCGCGUUGUCCAGGGAUCAACCUUGCUUUUGCUUGGUGUACUUUCUGGUUAAUGGGUCAGCAUCAAUUUUGAUCAUUGGAAAAAGGUUAGGGGAAUGUGGCAUCUUUGGAUGUGUUAUAGCCCUUGAUUGUAUACAAUGGUUGGGAUUGAGGAACUCAGCACGCCGCAAGGCCGGGUUUGUUAACCACGUACGUGCUUAGGAUGCUGGCAUAAUGGCUUUAAUCGACCCGUCUUGAAACACGGACCAAGGAGUC